Molecule: long non-coding RNA, 591 nt
Filed under: Solanum tuberosum (potato)
Lineage: Eukaryota; Viridiplantae; Streptophyta; Magnoliopsida; Solanales; Solanaceae
Description: long non-coding RNA (STUB_LNC005481)
Source: RNAcentral
GCACUAUUACUACGCAGAGAACAAGUAUUUUCACAAGAGAGUGAUUUAUUUUACUACUUUUAAUUUGCAUUAUUUAAAGAUUAAUUUACUAAUGAUCGAUUGGAUGGAUAGGUUAACGGUUAACACAAUAUAAGACAAAUUCCAGGGUUAUGGUGCCUCUAUGUACUAACUAACGUUGUGUCUACAUCUUUGUUAUUAUGCUAGUGAAAAGUGACAGGCAGGGGCGGAGCUAUCCUUGUUCGGGGGGUCAAGAGACAUUCCUUCGUCAGAAAAUUACAUUGUAUAGAUAGAUCAAAUAUAUUAAUGUUGACACCUCUUGACAUAGGGUGUCAAGCGACAUUCCUUCGUCAGAAAAUUACAUUGUAUAGAUAGAUCAAAUAUAUUAAUGUUGACACCUCUCGACAUAAGGUAAACAGUUCAGCUCAGUGUUUAAGGGGCUGCAAAAGCUCUCGAUGGUUGAGUGUUUGAUACUGGCUCAAGUUUUUAUAGGAGUUUUUUCUUUCAUAUGUUAAAUGACACAUGUACAACUAAUCUCAAUUAAAAUUUAAAGCACUCAACUUUAAGCAGAGUAUUGAAACCAUUUUUGUUUAA